GCUGGGCAUUGUGACUCAUGCCUGUAAUCCUAGCACCUUGGGAGGCCGAGGCGGGCGGAUCACCAGAGGUCAGGAGUUCGAGUCCAGCCUGGCCAACAUGGUGAAACCCCGUCUCUA
This 117-nucleotide non-coding RNA is filed under the name Pan troglodytes (chimpanzee). The record is from Rfam by way of RNAcentral. Lineage: Eukaryota; Metazoa; Chordata; Mammalia; Primates; Hominidae.